UACGGGGGGGGCAAGCGUUGUUCGGGAUUACUGGGCGUAAAGGGCGCGUAGGCGGUUUGCUAAGUUGAAUGUGAAAACUCUGGGCUUAACCCAGAGCCUGCAUUCAAUACUGGCAGGCUAGAGUUCUGGAGGGGAUAGCGGAAUUCCUGGUGUAGCGGUGAAAUGCGUAGAUAUCAGGAGGAACACCGGUGGCGAAGGCGGCUAUCUGGACAGAGUCUGACGCUGAGGCGCGAAAGCUAGGGGAGCAAACAGG
Molecule: ribosomal RNA, 253 nt
Filed under: uncultured bacterium
Lineage: Bacteria
Description: partial 16S ribosomal RNA
Rfam family: Bacterial small subunit ribosomal RNA
Source: RNAcentral